RNAcentral lists this ribosomal RNA (641 nucleotides) under Kribbella sp. I12A-02983. RNAcentral describes it as "bacterial SSU rRNA". It matches the Rfam family "Bacterial small subunit ribosomal RNA", at positions 96 to 751 of the family's 1533-position model. The record is from RNAcentral. Lineage: Bacteria; Bacillati; Actinomycetota; Actinomycetes; Propionibacteriales; Kribbellaceae.
CGGCGAACGGGUGAGUAACACGUGAGCAACCUACCCUCAACUUCGGGAUAAGCCUCGGAAACGGGGUCUAAUACCGGAUAUCACUUCCUGCUUCAUGGUGGGGGGUUGAAAGUUCUGGCGGUUGGGGAUGGGCUCGCGGCCUAUCAGCUUGUUGGUGGGGUAAUGGCCUACCAAGGCGUCGACGGGUAGCCGGCCUGAGAGGGCGACCGGCCACACUGGGACUGAGACACGGCCCAGACUCCUACGGGAGGCAGCAGUGGGGAAUAUUGCGCAAUGGACGAAAGUCUGACGCAGCAACGCCGCGUGAGGGAUGACGGCCUUCGGGUUGUAAACCUCUUUCAGCAGGGACGAAGCGAGAGUGACGGUACCUGCAGAAGAAGGACCGGCCAACUACGUGCCAGCAGCCGCGGUAAUACGUAGGGUCCGAGCGUUGUCCGGAAUUAUUGGGCGUAAAGGGCUCGUAGGCGGUUCGUCACGUCGGGAGUGAAAACUCGGAGCUUAACUCCGAGCCUGCUUCCGAUACGGGCAGACUAGAGGUAGGCAGGGGAGAGCGGAACUCCUGGUGUAGCGGUGGAAUGCGCAGAUAUCAGGAAGAACACCGGUGGCGAAGGCGGCUCUCUGGGCCUUACCUGACGCUGAGG